GUUGAACCAUACAUGCCAUUCACAACAAUGAUCCCACUCCAGGGGUUAGCUUUUGGGUCACUGUGACCAAACGACCUGACAAGAACAACUCUGAGGAAGAAAAAUUUAUACUGACUCAAGGUUUUAGAAGUUCAAUCCAUGGUUAACAGACUAUAUAGCUCUGGGCCCAAGGUGAGGCAGAACAUCAUGGCAGAAGGGCAGAGCAGAGGAAAGCAAUUUGAAAUAUGACAGACAGGAAGCAGAAAGCAAGCUCAGCUCCCCAGGGACGAAAUAUAAACCCCAAAGGCAUAUACCUACAUUGACCUACUUCCUCCAGUCACACCCUACCUGCCUACAGUUACCACCUGAUUAAUUCAUAUCAAUGGAUGAGUCCACUGGCCGGGUUACACUUCUCAAAAUCUAAUCAUUUCACCUCUGAAAAUUCUUGCAUUGCCUCACACAUGAACUUUUGGGAGAUGCUUUGUAUCUAAACUGUAAUAGUCACUGAUUUAGAACAUAUACCAAAACCUGGAAAACAUUAUCUAGCCUUACAAGGUGUUGCCAACAACCCAGAUGGCAUGAUUAUUGAGUCUUACAAACCCCAUUUCAAUGCUCCUUGA
Molecule: long non-coding RNA, 599 nt
Filed under: Marmota monax (woodchuck)
Lineage: Eukaryota; Metazoa; Chordata; Mammalia; Rodentia; Sciuridae
Source: RNAcentral